This 1143-nucleotide long non-coding RNA is filed under the name Calidris pugnax (ruff). Its description in RNAcentral is "lncRNA (ENSCPUG00000015437.1)". Lineage: Eukaryota; Metazoa; Chordata; Aves; Charadriiformes; Scolopacidae. The record is from RNAcentral.
CAGCCAUGUUGGGCUCCGGUACGAGCACGGCGCUCGCCGCAGGAGCCGCCGGUCGCCUCGGCGGGAGGCAGCGCGGCCGGGCUCGGCUCGGAACGGCGCGGGGAUCCCGGUUCCCACCGGAGAACCGGAGCCCGGGCGGCCUCCGACCCUCUUCUCCCAUCGCACCGAGGGAUGCCGCGAUGCGCCGUUACCCUGCCAGCCCGGUAACUUCCCACCGUUACCGGUAACGCCACUAACUGCGGGUCCCGCACCUGCCCCGCAUCCCUCCGGUAGAACCGGCCGCAUCCCGGGACUGCCUUCGGAAAAAAAUUGGGGUGUUUAUAGGGGAAGGAGCCGCGGUUACCUCCUCCGAGCCCGGUGUUGCCGGUUCCCCCGCCGCUCGCCGCUCGGUCGAACCCACCUGGGGAGGGAAAGAGAGAGAAGAGGCGUCAGGAGGAGCCGCCGCCGCCAUCGCUCCAACUUGGAGCAACUUUCCCGCCGCCGUCACCCAAAGGUGUUGAGGCAACAAAGAGCGGGAGGGGAUUCGACGCUCCUAUUUUUGGCCUGUUCCCGUCUAGAAAUAUUCCCCCAAAGCCCCGAAAGCUUCGCAAAGAUUGAUCUCUCAAAAAAAAAAAUAAUAAUAAUAAAAAAAAACCCUAAACCAAACAACCAUCCCCUGCCCUGCAAAGUGUUUCCAGAGAUUUUUUUUUUUUUUUUUUUUUCUUUUUUUUUUUCCCCUCCUUCCCCGUUUGAUUCCAACGUUGUCGCCGGGAAUUAUUUGCAUUUAAAAUCCAACGACUCGUUCCCUCGCACAUCCCUUCGCAGCUCCGUUCAACCAGCACCGGAGAGGGGGGGGAACCGACCCCCGAGGUAAAGGCGUCCCUAAACCCCCGGCCAAAUCCACCCCAAUUCCCGCCCGGCUGGAAAUAUCGAUGUGGGCGAAAACUAAUGAUUUAAACAGAUUUUAAUGAUUUAUUAUUUUUUUUUUCUUUCCGCAGCCGCCGUCACCCAAAGGUGUUGAGGCAACAAAGAGCGGGAGGGGAUUCGACGCUCCUAUUUUUGGCCUGUUCCCGUCUAGAAAUAUUCCCCCAAAGCCCCGAAAGCUUCGCAAAGAUUGAUCUCUCAAAAAAAAAAAUAAUAAUAAUAAAAAAAAACCCUAAACCA